UACGGAGGAUGCGAGCGUUAUCCGGAUUCAUUGGGCGUAAAGCGCGCGUAGGCGGCCGCCUAAGCGGAACCUCUAACCCCGGGGCUCAACCUCGGGCCGGGUUCCGGACUGGGCGGCUCGAGUGCGGUAGAGGAGAGCGGAAUUCCCGGUGUAGCGGUGGAAUGCGCAGAUAUCGGGAAGAACACCGAUGGCGAAGGCAGCUCUCUGGGCCGUCACUGACGCUGAGGCGCGAAAGCUGGGGGAGCGAACAGG
This 252-nucleotide ribosomal RNA is filed under the name uncultured bacterium. RNAcentral describes it as "partial 16S ribosomal RNA". It matches the Rfam family "Bacterial small subunit ribosomal RNA", at positions 524 to 776 of the family's 1533-position model. The record is from RNAcentral.